CAGAGUCAUCACAAGAAACUGCCUUUGAAUAAGUAGUAAGCUCACCAACUACAUUAAUUUCUUCUGCAACAGACAAAGCAUAUGCAACGAAAUUUGCAUAUCUUUGUAGUGAUCGAAUAUCCCUCCUUGGCCUAUCUUUAGCAAUGAAAUAUUAUUCUUCUUCUAAAUUAUUUCAUCAGUAGAUUCAGAUAUGUCUACUAGCACUUGUUGAAUAGAAGGACUAGAACUACCAAUCUCAAGCUCCACUUGCUUCUGCAUACUAUCAUCUGUUUGACAAGAACUAAAAGACUCUUUCUUAGAAGAUAACAUAGAAAAUUCAUCGAAAGUAACAUCUCUAUUGAUUAUAAAUUUUGAAAAUUUGGGAUCAUGACAUCAUAAUCUGUAUCCUUUCACCCCC
Molecule: long non-coding RNA, 397 nt
Filed under: Coffea arabica (coffee)
Lineage: Eukaryota; Viridiplantae; Streptophyta; Magnoliopsida; Gentianales; Rubiaceae
Description: long non-coding RNA (CARA_LNC003808)
Source: RNAcentral